AUUGAACGCUGGCGACAGGCCUAACACAUGCAAGUCGAGCGGAUGAGAGGAGCUUGCUCCUCGAUUCAGCGGCGGACGGGUGAGUAAUGCCUAGGAAUCUGCCUAGUAGUGGGGGACAACGUUUCGAAAGGAACGCUAAUACCGCAUACGUCCUACGGGAGAAAGUGGGGGAUCUUCGGACCUCACGCUAUUAGAUGAGCCUAGGUCGGAUUAGCUAGUUGGUAGGGUAAAGGCCUACCAAGGCGACGAUCCGUAACGGGUCUGAGAGGAUGAUCAGUCACACUGGAACUGAGACACGGUCCAGACUCCUACGGGAGGCAGCAGUGGGGAAUAUUGGACAAUGGGCGAAAGCCUGAUCCAGCCAUGCCGCGUGUGUGAAGAAGGCCUUCGGGUCGUAAAGCACUUUAAGUUGGGAGGAAGGGCUCAUAGCGAAUACCUGUGAGUUUUGACGUUACCAACAGAAUAAGCACCGGCUAACUUCGUGCCAGCAGCCGCAGUAA
Molecule: ribosomal RNA, 500 nt
Filed under: uncultured bacterium
Lineage: Bacteria
Description: partial 16S ribosomal RNA
Rfam family: Bacterial small subunit ribosomal RNA
Source: RNAcentral